AGCUCCAAUAGCGUAUAUUAAAGUUGUUGCAGUUAAAAAGCUCGUAGUUGGAUUUCUGGUUUGGGCCGCCGGUCCGCCCCUCACGGGGUGUGCACUAGUCGCGGACCCCGAGCCAUCCUCGUGGAGAGCGGCCCUGUCAUUAAGUUGUCGGGGUCGGGAUUCACGUCGUUUACUGUGAAAAAAUUAGAGUGUUUAAAGCAGGCAAUUGCUGUGAAUACAUUAGCAUGGAAUAAUAAGAUAGGACUUUGGUGCUAUUUUGUUGGUUUGCACGCCAAAGUAAUGAUUAACAGGGACAGUUGGGGGUAUUCGUAUUUAAUUGUCAGAGGUGAAAUUCUUGGAUUUAUGAAAGACGAACUACUGCGAAAGCAUUUACCAAGGAUGUUU
This 384-nucleotide ribosomal RNA is filed under the name uncultured eukaryote. Its description in RNAcentral is "SSU rRNA". It matches the Rfam family "Eukaryotic small subunit ribosomal RNA", at positions 587 to 969 of the family's 1831-position model. The record is from RNAcentral.